This 393-nucleotide ribosomal RNA is filed under the name uncultured bacterium. Its description in RNAcentral is "partial 16S ribosomal RNA". It matches the Rfam family "Bacterial small subunit ribosomal RNA", at positions 523 to 918 of the family's 1533-position model. The record is from RNAcentral.
AUACGGAGGAUCCGAGCGUUAUCCGGAUUUAUUGGGUUUAAAGGGAGCGUAGGUGGACAGUUAAGUCAGUUGUGAAAGUUUGCGGCUCAACCGUAAAAUUGCAGUUGAUACUGGCUGUCUUGAGUACAGUAGAGGUGGGCGGAAUUCGUGGUGUAGCGGUGAAAUGCUUAGAUAUCACGAAGAACUCCGAUUGCGAAGGCAGCUCACUGGACUGCAACUGACACUGAGGCUCGAAAGUGUGGGUAUCAAACAGGAUUAGAUACCCUGGUAGUCCACACAGUAAACGAUGAAUACUCGCUGUUUGCGAUAUACAGUAAGCGGCCAAGCGAAAGCAUUAAGUAUUCCACCUGGGGAGUACGCCGGCGACGGUGAAACUCAAAGGAAUUGACGGGG